UACGGAGGGUGCAAGCGUUAUCCGGAAUCACUGGGCGUAAAGCGCGCGUAGGCGGCUUGAUAAGCCGGUUGUGAAAGCCCCGGGCUCAACCUGGGAACCGCAUCCGGAACUGUCAGGCUCGGGUGCAGGAGAGGAAGGUAGAAUUCCCGGUGUAGCGGUGAAAUGCGUAGAGAUCGGGAGGAAUACCGGUGGCGAAGGCGGCCUUCUGGACUGACACUGACGCUGAGGUGCGAAAGCGUGGGUAGCAAACAGG
RNAcentral lists this unclassified non-coding RNA (253 nucleotides) under uncultured Halomonadaceae bacterium. RNAcentral describes it as "contains 16S-23S intergenic spacer region". It matches the Rfam family "Bacterial small subunit ribosomal RNA", at positions 524 to 776 of the family's 1533-position model. Lineage: Bacteria; Pseudomonadati; Pseudomonadota; Gammaproteobacteria; Oceanospirillales; Halomonadaceae. The record is from RNAcentral.